Molecule: transfer RNA, 76 nt
Filed under: Streptococcus pneumoniae CDC0288-04
Lineage: Bacteria; Bacillati; Bacillota; Bacilli; Lactobacillales; Streptococcaceae
Description: tRNA-Phe
Rfam family: tRNA
About the family: Transfer RNA (tRNA) molecules are approximately 80 nucleotides in length.
Source: RNAcentral
GGCUCGGUAGCUCAGUUGGUAGAGCAAUGGAUUGAAGAUCCAUGUGUCGGCGGUUCGAUUCCGUCUCGCGCCAUUU